UACGGGGGGAGCAAGCGUUGUUCGGAUUUACUGGGCGUAAAGGGCGCGUAGGCGGGCGGCCAAGUCAGGGGUGAAAGCCCCCAGCUCAACUGGGGAAGUGCCUCUGAUACUGGUCAUCUCGAGGGAGAUAGGGGCGUGCGGAACUUCCGGUGGAGCGGUGAAAUGCGUAGAUAUCGGAAGGAACACCGGUGGCGAAAGCGGCGCGCUGGAUCUCUUCUGACGCUGAGGCGCGAAAGCCAGGGGAGCGAACGGG
Molecule: ribosomal RNA, 253 nt
Filed under: uncultured bacterium
Lineage: Bacteria
Description: partial 16S ribosomal RNA
Rfam family: Bacterial small subunit ribosomal RNA
Source: RNAcentral